UACGUAGGGUGCAAGCGUUGUCCGGAAUUAUUGGGCGUAAAGAGCUCGUAGGCGGUUUGUCGCGUCUGCUGUGAAAACUCGGGGCUCAACUCCGAGCUUGCAGUGGGUACGGGCAGACUAGAGUGCGGUAGGGGAGACUGGAAUUCCUGGUGUAGCGGUGGAAUGCGCAGAUAUCAGGAGGAACACCGGUGGCGAAGGCGGGUCUCUGGGCCGUAACUGACGCUGAGGAGCGAAAGCAUGGGGAGCAAACAGG
RNAcentral lists this ribosomal RNA (253 nucleotides) under uncultured bacterium. RNAcentral's name for it is "partial 16S ribosomal RNA". It matches the Rfam family "Bacterial small subunit ribosomal RNA", at positions 524 to 776 of the family's 1533-position model. The record is from RNAcentral.